GGUAGCAUGGCCGAGUGGUCUAAGGCGCUGGUUUUAGGCACCAGUCUCUUCGGAGGCGUGGGUGCGAGUCCCACUGCUGCCA
RNAcentral lists this transfer RNA (82 nucleotides) under Acropora cervicornis. RNAcentral describes it as "tRNA-Leu". It matches the Rfam family "tRNA". From Rfam's summary of the family: Transfer RNA (tRNA) molecules are approximately 80 nucleotides in length. Their secondary structure includes four short double-helical elements and three loops (D, anti-codon, and T loops). Further hydrogen bonds mediate the characteristic L-shaped molecular structure. tRNAs have two regions of fundamental functional importance: the anti-codon, which is responsible for specific mRNA codon recognition, and the 3' end, to which the tRNAs corresponding amino acid is attached (by aminoacyl-tRNA synthetases). tRNAs cope with the degeneracy of the genetic code in two manners: having more than one tRNA (with a specific anti-codon) for a particular amino acid; and 'wobble' base-pairing, i.e. permitting non-standard base-pairing at the 3rd anti-codon position. The record is from RNAcentral. Lineage: Eukaryota; Metazoa; Cnidaria; Anthozoa; Scleractinia; Acroporidae.